AUUGAACGCUGGCGGCAUGCCUUACACAUGCAAGUCGAACGGCAGCACGGGUGCUUGCACCUGGUGGCGAGUGGCGAACGGGUGAGUAAUACAUCGGAACGUACCUUAUCGUGGGGGAUAACGCAGCGAAAGCUGUGCUAAUACCGCAUACGCCCUGAGGUGGAAAGCGGGGGAUCGCAAGACCUCGCGCGAUUAGAGCGGCCGAUGCCUGAUUAGCGUGUUGGUGGGGUAAAAGCCCACCAAGGCGACGAUCAGUAGCUGGUCUGAGUGGACGAUCAGCCACACUGGGACUGAGACACGGCCCAGACUCCUACGGGAGGCAGCAGUGGGGAAUUUUGGACAAUGGGGGCAACCCUGAUCCAGCAAUGCCGCGUGAGUGAAGAAGGCCUUCGGGUUGUAAAGCUCUUUUGUCAGGGAAGAAACACCGGCUCUAACACAGUCCGGGAAUGACGGUACCUGAAGAAUAAGCACCGGCUAACUACGUGCCAGCCGCCGCGGUAA
This 501-nucleotide ribosomal RNA is filed under the name uncultured bacterium. RNAcentral's name for it is "partial 16S ribosomal RNA". It matches the Rfam family "Bacterial small subunit ribosomal RNA", at positions 30 to 523 of the family's 1533-position model. The record is from RNAcentral.